RNAcentral lists this ribosomal RNA (253 nucleotides) under uncultured bacterium. RNAcentral describes it as "partial 16S ribosomal RNA". It matches the Rfam family "Bacterial small subunit ribosomal RNA", at positions 524 to 776 of the family's 1533-position model. The record is from RNAcentral.
UACGUAGGGUGCGAGCGUUGUCCGGAAUUACUGGGCGUAAAGAGCUCGUAGGUGGUUUGUCGCGUUGUUCGUGAAAACCGGGGGCUUAACCCUCGGCGUGCGGGCGAUACGGGCAGACUUGAGUACUGCAGGGGAGACUGGAAUUCCUGGUGUAGCGGUGGAAUGCGCAGAUAUCAGGAGGAACACCGGUGGCGAAGGCGGGUCUCUGGGCCGAAAUUGACGCUGAGGAGCGAAAGCGUGGGGAGCAAACAGG